CAAACUGUCAAAGGAAAAUCACAAGACGGAGAGAUGUGUCUGUACUUAAAACUGUGUCUCUCUAUGCUUUUACAGACUAUACUUGGACUCCAGUCAUCUGACCGUAGGCCCACAAGAAUCUUUGCUUCAAUUGGAGACAGUGUGCGUUUACCAUGUGGUACAUCCUACAUCAAUUCCUGCUCCUCUGUUACCUGGAGUAUAGUGAAAGAUGGGUUUGAUAACCAAUUAGAACUAUCAGGCAAGGUGAAAGCGGAUGGUCCAAACUCAGGAAGUCGACUGAAAGUGGGACAGGACUGCUCUCUACAUAUUCAACCUCUUGAAAUAGAUGAUGGAAGAGUUUACACCUGUGGAGAUGGGGCUACCAGUUCAAGUGUUUCUCUUCAGCUUCUCAACAUUACUCUGGCAACAGACACCAAUACAGCACCAGAGAUGGAUAUCAAGCUCCAAUGUUACCUGAAUAUAUUCUCAGGCCUUGUCCCACAAUGCAACCAUAGUGGAAUAAAGCUGAAUUGGCUGAAUGAGGCCAAUACAGUGCUACAGGGAGAGAGAUUUCAAACCGAACGUUCAUCUGCUUGCUUCUCUACGCUGACCAUCCGAGGUGUCAGGAAGACAGACCAUCACAGGAAGUGGCGGUGUCAACUGAUUGAAGGAGAGGUUGUGAAGACGUCCCUCAGCUAUACCACAGAAAUUACAGGAGGUAUAGAGGAAGUGUUUGUCGCAGUGGGUGAGUCAGUAUCACUUCCCUGUGCCACCCACUCCUCCCUCGAGGUGGGCAGCAGAUUCCAGUGGACUCUGGGUCAAAGGUCACUGUCCAGUCUGUCUCGGUCAGGCGAUGUCUCAGCUGGAACUCAGGGUCACCUUCCUGCAUCUCACAUCAGCCAAGACGGGUCUUUGGUCAUCAGCAAUGUGAAAACACUGCAUUCUGGGCUCUACAACUGCUCGCAACAGAACAGAAUCCUACUACACACUCUGGAUGUAUCUGCAGACCAUGCUACCACAGAUGGAAAUAAUCUCACCCUGACCUGCUCACUCACCUGUGUGGAAGAUUGUGGAGACUUCAAUUUAUCCUGGAUUCACAGUGGCCAGGAUGGGUUGCAGAGUGGCCUUAUAGGACAUAACAACACCCUCAUCUCCAAACUCUUCCUCCCUGACCGCCAGGGCACAGAGAAGAUAGCCUGCGCCGUGCUCAGAGAGGGGGUUGAAAUGGCUGUAAAGGAGUGGACCAUCCAGAGAGGUCAUGUUCUACCUGCAGUGGUAUGGUCAGUCCUUCUGCUCCUGCUGCUCUGUGCUGUUGGAGGGGGCGUGUAUUGGAAGAGGCAGGGCAAGGGAAGUGCCGCUCAAGGAGAAGAACAGCAGACACCUGUUGGAAUGACUCAUCUCUAUGACGAGAUUCAAGAUCAACCAAUUCAACCUUCCGGAGUAACCAACAACAGUUUCUAUGAUCUUCUGCAGGCUGGGAACUGAGUGUAAUGUCAUGUCCUCUAUCUUUAGGCUAUUAGUUGAGUUUUAAAUCUAAUUGGACUACUUUGUACUUUGCAUUGUUUUGUGGUUUGGAACAUUAUAAGUGUCACCAUGACAUCAAGUCUAUGCAGGUUGUAUUUUAUGGUGGAAAUAAAUUCAUAAAGAAAAUGACCUCUAUAGAAUAUCACCAGUUACCACAGUUAAAAACCCCGGCAUAAGUUGGUUACAGGAACACAUUCAGUAUGACUCCUCAGUGUGGGGGGUUGAUGGCUAAGUCAUCCCACCUCCUGUCUUAAACAUCACUCUGCUGACUUUCACAUCCCACAUGAAACCUGGUAGCUUCUCUUCAGCAGUGUAAAACUGUAGAUGUAUGGGACUGAGACAAGACACAUAAUACAUGAGAGUGAACAGAUAAGUGUGUUUAUUUAAUGCAGGAUGGCAGUGUGUGAGCAUUAGCAAUACAAGUAAAAACCCCAGAACAGCAUGUCUCUGUCUGGAACAGCUCCCAACUACACAUCAUUUGGUGUAGAAAAGCAUCAGCAAAAGUUGUUCCACCAUGGGGUCACAAAUAAAGGAAUAUGUCCAAUCAAAUCAAGCUAAAUACAAUUGGUCACCUCAUCCAUUUGAUUAUUUCAUAACUAAGAUUGUUAUUGUGUAAUACUAUGUAGGCUAUACCAGGGGUUGAAAGAUAAGAUUGUUAUUGUGUAAUAAUAUGUAAAUACUAUGUAGACUAUACCAGGGGUUGAAAGAUAAGAUUGUUAUUGUGUAAUAAUAUGUAAAUACUAUGUAGACUAUACCAGGGGCUGAAAGAUAAGAUUGUUAUUGUGUAAUACUAUGUAAU
Molecule: long non-coding RNA, 2302 nt
Organism: Oncorhynchus tshawytscha (Chinook salmon)
Lineage: Eukaryota; Metazoa; Chordata; Actinopteri; Salmoniformes; Salmonidae
Source: Ensembl